GUGGGGAGGGUAUAGUGGUAGAGUGUGUGCUUAGCAUGCAUAAGGUCCUGGGUUCAAUCCCCAGUACCUGCA
This is a transfer RNA of Camelus ferus (Wild Bactrian camel), 72 nucleotides long. It matches the Rfam family "tRNA". Rfam says of the family: Transfer RNA (tRNA) molecules are approximately 80 nucleotides in length. Their secondary structure includes four short double-helical elements and three loops (D, anti-codon, and T loops). Lineage: Eukaryota; Metazoa; Chordata; Mammalia; Artiodactyla; Camelidae. The record is from Rfam.